This 621-nucleotide ribosomal RNA is filed under the name uncultured Cortinarius. RNAcentral describes it as "eukaryotic LSU rRNA". It matches the Rfam family "Eukaryotic large subunit ribosomal RNA", at positions 151 to 758 of the family's 3401-position model. Lineage: Eukaryota; Fungi; Basidiomycota; Agaricomycetes; Agaricales; Cortinariaceae. The record is from RNAcentral.
GAGAAGUGUUAUCUGCACUGGACCGUGUACAAGUCUCCUGGAAUGGAGCGUCAUAGAGGGUGAGAAUCCCGUCUUUGACACGGACUACCAGGGCUUUGUGAUACACUCUCAAAGAGUCGAGUUGUUUGGGAAUGCAGCUCAAAAUGGGUGGUAAAUUCCAUCUNAAGCUAAAUAUUGGCGAGAGACCGAUAGCGAACAAGUACCGUGAGGGAAAGAUGAAAAGAACUUUGGAAAGAGAGUUAAAUAGUACGUGAAAUUGCUGAAAGGGAAACGCUUGAAGUCAGUCGCGUUGUCUAGGAAUCAACCUUGCUUUUGCUUGGUGUAUUUCCUGGUUAACGGGUCAGUAUCAAUUUUGAUCAUUGGAGAAAGGUUAGGGGAAUGUGGCAUCUUUGGAUGUGUUAUAGCCCUUGAUUGUAUACAGUGGUUGGGAUUGAGGAACUCAGCAUGCCGCAAGGUCGGGUUAUUUAACCACGUUACAUGCUUAGGAUACUGGCAUANNGGCUUUNAUCGACCCGUCUUGAAACACGGACCAAGGAGUCUAAACAUACCUGCAAGUGNUUGAGUGNAAAAACUCGAGCGCGUAAUGAAAGUGAAAGUUGAGAUCUCUGUCAUGGAGAGCAU